GAAAUGCGAUAAGUAAUGUGAAUUGCAGAAUUCAGUGAAUCAUCGAAUCUUUGAACGCACCUUGCGCUCCUUGGUAUUCCUUGGAGCAUGCCUGUUUGAGUAUCAUGAAAUCUUCAAAGUAAAUCUUUUGUUAACUCAAUUGGUUUCUACUUUGGUAUUGGAGGUCUUUGCAGCUUCACACCUGCUCCUCUUUGUUCAUUAGCUGGAUCUCAGUGUUAUGCUUGGUUCCACUCGGCGUGAUAAGUUAUCUAUCGCUGAGGACACUGUAAAAGGUGGCCAAGGUAAAUGCAGAUGAACCGCUUCUAAUAGUCCAUUGACUUGGACAAUACUUUUAUGAUCUGAUCUCAAAUCAGGUAGGACUACCGCUGAACUUAAGC
This 377-nucleotide unclassified non-coding RNA is filed under the name plant metagenome. RNAcentral describes it as "partial contains 5.8S ribosomal RNA, internal transcribed spacer 2, and large subunit ribosomal RNA". The stretch from base 1 to 105 matches the Rfam family "5.8S ribosomal RNA", at positions 50 to 154 of the family's 154-position model. The record is from RNAcentral.